CGCGUAGGCGGUUUAACAAGUUGGAUGUGAAAGCCCUGGGCUCAACCCGGGAAUUGCAUUCAAAACUGUUUGACUCGAAUUCGGUAGAGGUUGGUAGAAUUCCCAGUGUAGAGGUGAAAUUCGUAGAGAUUGGGAAGAAUACCCGUGGCGAAGGCGGCCAACUGGACCGACAUUGACGCUGAGGCGCGAAAGCGUGGGUAGCAAACAGGAUUAGAUACCCUGGUAGUCCACGCCGUAAACGAUGCAUGCUAGACGUUAAAACCAUCAUGGUUUUAGUGUCGCAGCUAACGCACUAAGCAUGCCGCCUGGGGAGUACGGCCGCAAGGUUGAA
Molecule: ribosomal RNA, 331 nt
Filed under: uncultured bacterium
Lineage: Bacteria
Description: bacterial SSU rRNA
Rfam family: Bacterial small subunit ribosomal RNA
Source: RNAcentral